GGGGCAAUAGAGGUGGUUGUAAGGGAAUGCUUCUCCAAAGAAUCGGAGUUAGGAUAAGUGACAUAAAACCACCCUUGUUUCUAAGCCGUCAGCUGCUCCUCUUUGAUGAGAACAAUUCUUAUAACCCAUGAAGGAAGCAGACGGAGGGGCGCAUUGCGAAGGUGGUAAUUCCUUGUGUUUGUCUUUUUCCUUUCAUGAAAGGCUUUCCAAGUGGGCGUAAUGGCACAUGCCUGCAAUCCCAGCACUCAAUAAGCAAAAGCUGGAGGAUCCCUGCAGGCUGUGAGGCCAGCCUGGGCUACACAGUGAGUUCAAGGCCAGCCAGAACUAUACACAGGAAGAUAGUGCUCCCGCCCCCAUCCAUACACAACUUUCCUAGACAUAUUUCCUCUCGCUUGGUAAGCAUGCCUACCAGGACAGAAGGACACCUUUACAGAAGAGACAUUCUGGAAGGAUCUCAUCUUCUGUAUGGUGGAGAACGGUCGGUAUCAGCAGCGUAUUGGUAUGAGUGUAAUGUGCAAAUUCUGUGCCCUGCCCAGAUCUACCCGCUCAAACUGGGCCAGCCCAGGAGUCUGUUAUAUAUGACUAGGUGGGCCAAGUGCAUGCCCAACUCUGAGAAUCAUCAGAUUAGGGCUCACAGGAGGCACAAGACAAACCUGGAGUGAGACCCUGGGGCUGUCCGAGCCUAUCCUUCCCUGAAGUCCUGCUGUUCAGAGCUGAGAUUUUCUCACAGGAUAAUCCGUGUUCCUGUAUGUGGAAACAGAGGAACAGACAGAACAUCGUCCUCCGUCACUCUAUACCGGAUUUCUCUGAGACAGCAUCUUUUUCUGACCCUCAAGCCUGCUGAUUUGUCCUGACUGAUGGACUAGAAAGCCCAGGGGAAUCGAUCUUCCUGUCUCACCUCCUGGUUCUGGGAUUACAGAUGCACACUGACUUGCCACCACAACCCCGCAGCCACUUAAAAAAAAAAAAAAUCCUGAGGCUGCUGGCGUCGGAACUCAGGUCCUCAUGCUUGGAUAGUAAACAUGUUAGCAACGUUGCCACCCCCCAGCCCUGCUCAUUGUUACCAGCGUUGCCAUCACCUCCCUUCCAGCCCUGCUCAUUGCCCGCUUAUAUUUAUUUCUUCUUGGAGAAAUGUUUAUUCAAGUCCUUUGGUCACUUUAAUUUUAUUUACUUUUUUUCAGACAGGGUUUCACAAAGUUGCUGUGACUGGCCUGAAAUUCACUAGGUAUAUCAGGUUUGCCCCUAACUCUCAAGAGACACAGCUGCCUCUGCUUUUUGAGUGCACAACCUCACCUAGCCUUUUGAUAUUAUUUUUUAACUUUGUUAUUUAUUUUAUUUUAUGUUUAUUGGUGUUUUGCCUAUAUGCAUGUUCAUAUCUGAUGCCUGUGGGUACCCAAAGAGGGUGUCUGAUCCCUUAGAACUGUGAGCUGCCACGUGGGGGCUGGGAAUGGAACCCGGGUCCUCUGGAAGAGCAGCCAGUGCUCUUAACUGCUUGAGUUAUCUUUCCAGCCCCAUCUUUGACCAUUUAAAAAUGAAUAGUUUUUUUUUUCUGACCGUUACAUAUUCUGUGUGGCAUUAAAUUCUGUCAUUUAUAAAGUACUGUAUUCAUGGGAAGUCCUGGGCGCACACAGUCUCAUUUGUUUUUACCAUAACCUUGAGAUACAGGUACAACCCAAAUCCACAUUUCCCAGAAGAAGCACCAAGGCCUGGACUAGUCAACUCACAUCGCUAUGAUCACACUGCUGGUGAAAACCCUAGGCGGAGAGAUGCGUCUACCGUGUGCGACUUGUUUUCCAACAAAGAGCAGCAGAAAAAUGGCUCUGUGUCUAUAUUUUCUUAUGUCAAGAUAUGGGGGCAUAAAUCAUGAAGUUGGCAAUGGCUAGCUAUAGCUGAGCAAGAGAACUGGACUGCGGUAUCGGAGCAGGAGUUUGCUGGUUUCACUAGCGAGGAGGCCUCAAGAUGUCGGAGCCGUUGCCCCCUCUAGUGGUGGAAUCGAGACGCGUCCUGGCCGUUUUCCGGUGGCUGGUAUUCCUCUGUGGCUUGAGUGUGUUUACUUUCUCUUCGCCAAGUUGUCCCUUGUCUCUUCCAAUGCGUUGGUGACUUCACUUAGCACUUCCAGGCAAUGCAGGACGACUUUUCCUAUCUCUGGAUCCCCAAUGAGCCCUCUUUCCCCACCACUUUCCAUUAAGUAAGAAUGCUUGCCCAGCUCUCGCGAAAAGCUCAGUUCAAUCCCCAGUGUAAUCCUGGCACUUGCAUAAAAACAAAACAAAGCAAAGCAAAACAAAAAGUUCCACAUUCACAAGUUCAGGAAUUUGGAUAUGUUUGGGGGCCAUUAUUAAUAUUAAUUUCAGGGUCUGUGCGGCUGCUUGUGUGAAUGUUUUAAUGAUAAAUUACUUCAUAUCAUAAAUUGUAUGGUUGAGAGUCUAUCCUAGGAGAAAGUAUCUGUCCUGGCUACUUUUAUGUCAACUUGAUAGAAGAUUAAGUUGAGAGGAGGGAAUCCCAGCUGAGAAAAUGCCUCAUAGGAUCAGGCUUAGGUGAGCCCGUAGGGCUUUUUCUUCAUUAGUGAUCGAUGGGGAAGAACUCAGCCCACUGUGGGUGGUGUCACCCCAGGGCUGGUGGUCCUGCGUUCUAGAAGAAAGCAGGUCGAGCAGGCCCUGGGGAGCAAGCCAGUCUGCAGACCCCUCCACCGCCUCUGCAUCAGGUCCUGCCUCCAGGUUCCUGCCCUGACUUCUUUUUACAAUGAACAGUGAUGUGGAAGUGUGAGC
Long non-coding RNA from Alexandromys fortis (reed vole), 2765 nucleotides. RefSeq lists it as uncharacterized. The transcript has 3 exons. NCBI's taxonomy places the organism in Eukaryota, Metazoa, Chordata, Mammalia, Rodentia, Cricetidae. The record is from RefSeq and is a predicted model, not a curated record.